UUGCUUUCGCAGCACAUAUACUAAAAUUGGAACGACACAGAGAAGAUGAGCGUGGCCCCAGCUCAAGGAUGACAUGCAAAUUCGUGAAGCGUUCCAUAUGUAA
Molecule: small nuclear RNA, 103 nt
Organism: Physeter macrocephalus (sperm whale)
Lineage: Eukaryota; Metazoa; Chordata; Mammalia; Artiodactyla; Physeteridae
Source: Ensembl